Xylariomycetidae sp. FL2044 is the source of this 92-nucleotide non-coding RNA. Lineage: Eukaryota; Fungi; Ascomycota; Sordariomycetes. The record is from the annotation of a GenBank genome assembly.
GCGGGGAUAGCUCAGUUGGGAGAGCGUCAGACUGAAGCCAAAACUUCUGUCAUCACAUCUGAAGGUCGUGCGUUCGAUCCGCACUCACCGCA